Phycodurus eques (leafy seadragon) is the source of this 588-nucleotide non-coding RNA. The record is from the annotation of a RefSeq genome assembly. NCBI's taxonomy places the organism in Eukaryota, Metazoa, Chordata, Actinopteri, Syngnathiformes, Syngnathidae.
ACACAAACUCCUCUUGUAAACCGAGUCAGGAUGCGGUCGCCCGUACUCGCGCUCGUCCUUUGGGCUCUGCUGAUUCCGGGAUCUUCUGCCGCUGAUUUUCUGAGGCAGACGGACAGAAUGAAGUCCGUCUCUCUUGGAGGGACGUUGACCAUUGGCGCCACAGGGAGUUCAAACAUUGGUAGAGAUCUCAGUUGGUACCAAGUGAAACCUGGGCAGGCUCCCAAACUGCUCAUCUACGAUGCAUCCAGUCGCUUCUCUGGCACGCCAUCUCGAUUCAGCGGCACACGAUCUGGCUCUGACUACACUCUGACCAUCAGUGGUGUCCAGGCAGAAGACGUGGCUGAUUACUACUGUCUCGGCUAUCACGGCAGUGGAAGGUACACACGGUGAUUCAGAGCCGUACAAAAACCUCUUUCGACUUUGAGCGAAGUGAAAGCGGCCUGCAGAAUGUGGCAAGGGGAAAGCAGAAGACACACUGAAUGAUGAGCAUGACUGGUCAUCAAGCUAAUGAAUCACUCAAGCUGACUGACAACAUUAUAUUAAUAUUAUUCUUUCUAUUUUCAAUAUUUGUGUUUUUUUAUUUGAAUG